Molecule: ribosomal RNA, 749 nt
Filed under: uncultured bacterium
Lineage: Bacteria
Description: bacterial SSU rRNA
Rfam family: Bacterial small subunit ribosomal RNA
Source: RNAcentral
ACGCUGGCGGCGUGCUUAACACAUGCAAGUCGAACGAUGAACCAGGAGCUUGCUCUUGGGGAUUAGUGGCGAACGGGUGAGUAACACGUGAGUAACCUGCCCUUGACUCUGGGAUAAGCGUUGGAAACGACGUCUAAUACCGGAUACGAGCUUCAGCCGCAUGGCUAGGAGCUGGAAAGAAUUUCGGUCAAGGAUGGACUCGCGGCCUAUCAGCUAGUUGGUGAGGUAAUGGCUCACCAAGGCGACGACGGGUAGCCGGCCUGAGAGGGUGACCGGCCACACUGGAACUGAGACACGGUCCAGACUCCUACGGGAGGCAGCAGUGGGGAAUAUUGCACAAUGGGCGAAAGCCUGAUCCAGCCAUGCCGCGUGUGUGAAGAAGGUCUUCGGAUUGUAAAGCACUUUAAGUUGGGAGGAAGGGCAGUAAAUUAAUACUUUGCUGUUUUGACGUUACCGACAGAAUAAGCACCGGCUAACUCUGUGCCAGCAGCCGCGGUAAUACAGAGGGGUGCAAGCGUUAAUCGGAAUUACUGGGCGUAAAGCGCGCGUAGGUGGUUCGUUAAGUUGGAUGUGAAAUCCCCGGGCUCAACCUGGGAACUGCAUUCAAAACUGACGAGCUAGAGUAUGGUAGAGGGUGGUGGAAUUUCCUGUGUAGCGGUGAAAUGCGUAGAUAUAGGAAGGAACACCAGUGGCGAAGGCGACCACCUGGACUGAUACUGACACUGAGGUGCGAAAGGUGGGGAGCAAAC